CUACGGGGGGCUGCAGCAAGGAAUUUUGGGCAAUGGGCGAAAGCCUGACCCAGCGACGCCGCGUGGGGGAUGAAGGCCUUCGGGUUGUAAACCCCUUUUCCCGGGGAAGAAUAAUGACGGUACCCGGGGAAUAAGCCUCGGCUAACUACGUGCCAGCAGCCGCGGUAAUACGUAGGAGGCGAGCGUUAUCCGGAUUUACUGGGCGUAAAGAGGGCGUAGGUGGCUCUUUAAGUCGGAUGUAAAAUCUCCUGGCUCAACUGGGAGGGGUCAUCUGAUACUGUUGGGCUUGAGGACAGCAGGGGGAGGUGGAAUUCCCGGUGUAGUGGUGAAAUGCGUAGAUAUCGGGAGGAACACCAGUGGCGAAGGCGGCCUCCUAGGCUGUUUCUGACGCUGAGACCCGAAAGUGUGGGGAGCGAACAGGAUUAGAUACCCGAGUAGUC
Molecule: ribosomal RNA, 440 nt
Filed under: uncultured bacterium
Lineage: Bacteria
Description: partial 16S ribosomal RNA
Rfam family: Bacterial small subunit ribosomal RNA
Source: RNAcentral